This 1408-nucleotide ribosomal RNA is filed under the name uncultured Rhizaria. Its description in RNAcentral is "SSU rRNA". It matches the Rfam family "Eukaryotic small subunit ribosomal RNA", at positions 384 to 1804 of the family's 1831-position model. The record is from RNAcentral.
CGGAGAGGGAGCAUGAGAAACGGCUACCACUUCUAAGGAAGGCAGCAGGCGCGCAAAUUACCCAAUCCUGACUCAGGGAGGUAGUGACAAGAAAUAACGAUAAACCGGCUUAUGCCGGUUUAAUUGGAAUGAGUACAAUUUAAACAUCUUAACGAGGAACAAUUGGAGGGCAAGUCUGGUGCCAGCAGCCGCGGUAAUUCCAGCUCCAAUAGCGUAUACUAAAGUUGUUGCAGUUAAAAAGCUCGUAGUUGGAUUUCUGCGGGGACGGAGCGGCCGGACGCAACUUGCGUCUCGAGCUAGCGCUUUCCCCGCAUCCUGCCGCGAACCGUGCUACCAUUAGUUUGGUGGCGCUGGGGAUCGGCUCGAUUACUUUGAGAAAAAUAGAGUGUUCAAAGCAGGCCACACGCCUUGAAUAAGUUAGCAUGGAAUAAUGACUAAGGACUUCGGUUCUAUUUUGUUGGUGUUCGGGACUGAAGUAAUGAUUGAUAGGGACAGUUGGGGCGGUCUGUAUUCCAAAGCGAGAGGUGAAAUUCUUAGACCUUCGGAAGACAAACAGCUGCGAAAGCGUUCCGCAAGGAUGUUCCCUUUGAUCAAGAACGAAAGUUGGGGGAUCGAAGACGAUCAGAUACCGUCGUAGUCUCAACUAUAAACUAUACCAGCUAGGGAUCGGCCAACGUUUAAUUAUUCGACUUGGUCGGCACCUUAUGAGAAAUCAAAGCAUCUGGGUUCCGGGGGGAGUAUGGUCGCAAGGCUGAAACUUAAAGGAAUUGACGGAAGGGCACCACCAGCCGUGGAGCCUGUGGCUUAAUUUGACUCAACACGGGAAAACUUACCAGGUCCAGACAUAGGAAGGAUUGACAGAUUGAUAGCUCUUUCUUGAUUCUGUGGGUGGUGGUGCAUGGCCGUUUUUAGUUGGUGGAGUGAUUUGUCUGCUUAAUUGCGUUAACGAACGAGACCCCAGCCUGCUAAAUAGCGCGGCCGAGCUUUGCUCGGUGCGAGCUUCUUAGAGGGACCAUGAUGCGCGAUAGCACAAGGAAGUUUGGGGCAACAACAGGUCUGUGAUGCCCUUAGAUGUUCUGGGCCGCACACGGGCUACACUGGCGCCUGCAACGAGCAUAUCAGCUGGCCCGAGAGGGUCUUGGCUAAUCUUUUGAACCGGCGCCGUGCUUGGGAUUGACCUUUGCAAUUGUUGGUCAUGCAACGAGGAAUGCCUUGUAAACGCGAGUCAUCAGCUCGCAUUGAAUACGUCCCUGCCCUUUGUACACACCGCCCGUCGCUCCUACCGAUGAAUGUUCCGAUGAAAUUUUCGGAGAGCGCCAGAGAACGGGGCUCUGCCUUGCAGAUCUGGAGGCUCAAAGUCACUUAAAUCUGAACAUUUCGAGGAAGGAGAAGUCGUAACAAGGUAACC